This 373-nucleotide ribosomal RNA is filed under the name uncultured Glomeromycotina. Its description in RNAcentral is "LSU rRNA". The record is from RNAcentral. Lineage: Eukaryota; Fungi; Glomeromycota.
UUGAAAGGGAAACGAUUGAAGUCAGUCGUACCUGUGGGUAAUCAGCCUUUUGGGUGUGAUUUUGUGGAGUGUGAGGAGUUAAACGCCUUCAUGCCUGCAUAUUCGUGCACUUUGGGUGUAUUUACCCGUGUGGUAAGUUAACAUCAAUUUCGGUGGUCAUAAAAUGGCUGGAGGAAUGUAGCUUUGAUCUCGUAUUGAAGUGUUAUAGCCUUCGGUAGAUGUGAUAAUCGGGAUUGAGGAUUGCAACGGAUACCCUUCGGGGCUACCUGUCUGAUCUCUGAUCGUUGCUCUGGUGCCGAAAGCUUGCUUACGGUUAUCAAAGUCGAUGGUCAAUAGGUUAGAACGGGUUAAAUUCGUUAAGGAUGUUGACGUA